This 810-nucleotide long non-coding RNA is filed under the name Phaseolus vulgaris (common bean). Its description in RNAcentral is "long non-coding RNA (PVUL_LNC003048)". Lineage: Eukaryota; Viridiplantae; Streptophyta; Magnoliopsida; Fabales; Fabaceae. The record is from RNAcentral.
UAAAGAAUAACCAAAGAAUAAAGUGAUUUAAUAAAAAAAAUCUUUUUAACAUAGUUAUCAAUAGACUUUUUUGGGCAAAGAUAGUAUCAAUAGAUAAUGUACCAGACACCACCAAUUGUGGCAAGUAAUAAUAAAGUGUUACUUUUACCAACUUUUUUCUAAAUAACUAAAAGACAAUUGUUUUCAAUGAUAAAAUAUUAAAAUAAGAUAUUUAAUUAAAAUAUAAAUGAAAUUAUUGAAUUAAAAUAGUUGAAAACCUACAUGUUGAAGUGUAUGAAUGUCACCUUCAACUUGACCUGGCAAAUAUGAAAAAAAACAGCUGAUUAGCAGAGUAGGGAUGAAAACAAUAGAAUUGAUGAAGAAAGAAACAAAAGAUGAAGUUGCUCCGAACCUCAGUCUCCAGCUUUUUCUGUGAAUGUCUUAUAUUAAUAUAAUAUUCUCACUCCUUUUCAAACGUAACUACCUCUGUCCUUUCAUCAUCACUCACAACUUCAUUUCUUUCUGGUGGGGACAUUAUCCAAAGUUAAAUACUCCCUUUUUAAUUCACUAAUCAUUUUUACCUUUAAACGACUAAUCCAAGGACCGAUUAAAAUGAAAUUGCCAUCAACACAGAAAACACGUGGAUAAUGUGUUUGCCAAUAGUGAAAAUGGCUACUACAACUUUUAGACUAGCCAUUUCUCUUUAUUUUCUCGGUUGCAUAUCUCCGUUGAUAUUUUAUAUUAUAUUAUUACGUGUAAAUUUUAUUUUAUAAAUUUAAGUUAGAUUUAAAGUUUGUUUUUAACAUAUAAAUUUGUAUACUUUCAUAAAUG